This 481-nucleotide ribosomal RNA is filed under the name uncultured bacterium. Its description in RNAcentral is "partial 16S ribosomal RNA". It matches the Rfam family "Bacterial small subunit ribosomal RNA", at positions 30 to 507 of the family's 1533-position model. The record is from RNAcentral.
UUGAACGCUGGCGGCAGGCCUAACACCUGCAAGUCGAGCGGAUGAAGGGAGCUUGCUCCUGGAUUCAGCGGCGGACGGGUGAGUAAUGCCUAGGAAUCUGCCUGGUAGUGGGGGAUAACGUCCGGAAACGGGCGCUAAUACCGCAUACGUCCUGAGGGAGAAAGUGGGGGAUCUUCGGACCUCACGCUAUCAGAUGAGCCUAGGUCGGAUUAGCUAGUUGGUGGGGUAAAGGCCUACCAAGGCGACGAUCCGUAACUGGUCUGAGGAUGAUCAGUCACACUGGAACUGAGACACGGUCCAGACUCCUACGGGAGGCAGCAGUGGGGAAUAUUGGACAAUGGGCGAAAGCCUGAUCCAGCCAUGCCGCGUGUGUGAAGAAGGUCUUCGGAUUGUAAAGCACUUUAAGUUGGGAGGAAGGGCAGUAAGUUAAUACCUUGCUGUUUUGACGUUACCAACAGAAUAAGCACCGGCUAACUUCGUG